UAUAUUCUAGUAUAAGAUGUACGAGAAUUUUUGAAAUUCUAAGAAAUAAUUUAA
RNAcentral lists this transfer RNA (54 nucleotides) under Coelophora saucia. Its description in RNAcentral is "tRNA-Gln". Lineage: Eukaryota; Metazoa; Arthropoda; Insecta; Coleoptera; Coccinellidae. The record is from RNAcentral.